Long non-coding RNA from Etheostoma cragini (Arkansas darter), 235 nucleotides. RefSeq lists it as uncharacterized. The record is from RefSeq and is a predicted model, not a curated record. The transcript is spliced from 3 exons. NCBI's taxonomy places the organism in Eukaryota, Metazoa, Chordata, Actinopteri, Perciformes, Percidae.
CUCUGUUUGGUUGUAAGAAGGGGGGGGUCAGCUGAGCAACCUUCCUUCCGGUUUGAGUUGUCAUGUGUCAUAUUUGUCUGGGGGGAGACGCAUUUUAUUUCCAAACCUUGCUGAAUGUUAUCCAUGAAUCUUUCUGUAAUCAUGUUUGUCCACUAGGCGGGUGAUUGGUCCAUUUGCUUCACCGGAGCCCCGUUUGCCAACGUGUUUCCGGCUGGGUCCAAGGAUAUGUCAAAAA